CCUACGGGUGGCAGCAGUGAGGAAUAUUGGUCAAUGGGCGGAAGCCUGAACCAGCCAAGUAGCGUGAAGGAUGACGGCCCUACGGGUUGUAAACUGCUUUUAUACGGGAAUAACGCGCCUUACGUGUAGGGCUUUGCAUGUACCGUAUGAAUAAGGACCGGCUAAUUCCGUGCCAGCAGCCGCGGUAAUACGGAAGGGCCGGGCGUUAUCCGGAUUUAUUGGGUUUAAGGGGAGCGUAGGCCGCAUGUCAAGCGUGCUGGGAAAUGUCCGGGGUCAACCCUGGCCUUGCAGCGAGUACUGGCGUGCUUGAGUCCGGGGAAGGCAGGCGGAAUU
This 333-nucleotide ribosomal RNA is filed under the name uncultured bacterium. Its description in RNAcentral is "partial 16S ribosomal RNA". It matches the Rfam family "Bacterial small subunit ribosomal RNA", at positions 338 to 668 of the family's 1533-position model. The record is from RNAcentral.